This 309-nucleotide ribosomal RNA is filed under the name Asthenactis fisheri. RNAcentral describes it as "partial 12S ribosomal RNA". Lineage: Eukaryota; Metazoa; Echinodermata; Asteroidea; Spinulosida; Pythonasteridae. The record is from RNAcentral.
UUUUUAAACCUUCCUGGAGGAGCUUGCCAUUUAACCCGAUAACCCUCGUUAUACCUCACCAAUCUUCGUAACCACCAACUUGUAUACCAUCGUCGUCAGUCUACCUUCCAAAAGAAAGUUUACUUAAUUGAAUAUUCUUCCAAACGUCAGAUCGAGGUGCAGUCUAUAGAUUGGCAAUGAGUGAGCUACAAUAAUUAUACUAACCCCAUUAAAAUCAACUAUGGAAAAAUUAAUGAAAAAAAAAUUUAAAUCGAAUUCAGAAGUAAUGAAAAAAAGAAAAUUUUCAUGAAACUCAGCUCUAAAAUACGU